CGGUGGGCCCUUGAGUAUUUACCCUGCUGUGGUAGUGUCAGCCCAUCCCGGCCAAUGCCGAACUUUCAAAAACCCCGCCCUUGGGCGGGGUUUUGCUUUAUU
Molecule: small RNA, 102 nt
Filed under: Pseudomonas japonica
Lineage: Bacteria; Pseudomonadati; Pseudomonadota; Gammaproteobacteria; Pseudomonadales; Pseudomonadaceae
Description: Pseudomonas rnk leader
Rfam family: Pseudomonas rnk leader
Source: RNAcentral